ACGGGGGAUCCAAGCGUUAUCCGGAAUAACUGGGCGUAAAGCGUUGCGUAGGCGGCAGUGUAAGCGAAGUGUGAAAUCGUGUGGCUCAACCAUGCGGCUAUGCUUUGAACUGCACCGCUAGAGAGUGAGAGAGGUUACUGGAAUUUCUAGUGUAGGAGUGAAAUCCGUAGAUAUUAGAAGGAACACCGAUGGCGUAGGCAGGUAACUGGCUCAUUUCUGACGCUCAGGCACGAAAGCGUGGGGAGCAAACGGGA
This 254-nucleotide ribosomal RNA is filed under the name uncultured prokaryote. RNAcentral's name for it is "partial 16S ribosomal RNA". It matches the Rfam family "Bacterial small subunit ribosomal RNA", at positions 525 to 777 of the family's 1533-position model. The record is from RNAcentral.